This 47-nucleotide ribosomal RNA is filed under the name Gnetum parvifolium. RNAcentral describes it as "partial 5.8S ribosomal RNA". The record is from RNAcentral. RNAcentral also lists the same sequence under 3 other names. Lineage: Eukaryota; Viridiplantae; Streptophyta; Gnetopsida; Gnetales; Gnetaceae.
ACCACGACUCUCGACAAUGGAUAUCUCGGCUCUCGUUUCGAUGAAGA